UACGUAGGUGGCGAGCGUUGUCCGGAAUUACUGGGCGUAAAGGGCGCGUAGGCGGUUUUUUAAGUUAGAUGUGAAAACCCAGGGCUUAACUUUGGGCGUGCAUUUAAAACUGGAGAACUUGAGUGCAGGAGAGGUAAGUGGAAUUCCUAGUGUAGCGGUGAAAUGCGUAGAUAUUAGGAGGAACACCAGUGGCGAAGGCGACUUACUGGACUGUAACUGACGCUGAGGCGCGAAAGCGUGGGGAGCAAACAGGAUUAGAAACCCCAGUAGUCC
RNAcentral lists this ribosomal RNA (273 nucleotides) under uncultured prokaryote. RNAcentral describes it as "partial 16S ribosomal RNA". It matches the Rfam family "Bacterial small subunit ribosomal RNA", at positions 524 to 796 of the family's 1533-position model. The record is from RNAcentral.